GACGAACGCUGGCGGCGUGCUUAACACAUGCAAGUCGAACGGAAAGGCCCUGCUUUUGUGGGGUGCUCGAGUGGCGAACGGGUGAGUAACACGUGAGUAACCUGCCCUUGACUUUGGGAUAACUUCAGGAAACUGGGGCUAAUACCGGAUAGGAGCUCCUGCUGCAUGGUGGGGGUUGGAAAGUUUCGGCGGUUGGGGAUGGACUCGCGGCUUAUCAGCUUGUUGGUGGGGUAGUGGCUUACCAAGGCUUUGAGGGGUAGCCGGCCUGGGAGGGUGACCGGCCACAUUGGGACUGAGAUACGGCCCAGACUCCUAUGGGAGGCAGCGGUGGGGAAUGUUGCACUAUGGGCUGAAGCCUGGUGCAGCAACGCAGCGUGCGGGAUGAGGGCCUUCGGGUUGUAAACCGCUUUCGCCUGUGACGAAGCGUGAGUGACGGUAAUGGGUAAAGAAGCACCGGCUAACUACGUG
Molecule: ribosomal RNA, 468 nt
Filed under: uncultured bacterium
Lineage: Bacteria
Description: partial 16S ribosomal RNA
Rfam family: Bacterial small subunit ribosomal RNA
Source: RNAcentral